Molecule: microRNA precursor, 55 nt
Filed under: Echinococcus granulosus
Lineage: Eukaryota; Metazoa; Platyhelminthes; Cestoda; Cyclophyllidea; Taeniidae
Description: microRNA egr-mir-10450 precursor
Source: miRBase by way of RNAcentral
AAAGUUUUGGAGUCACCUGCAUGCCAUGCGCAAGCAGGUGACUCCAAAACUUUUG